GCGAAACAAAGCGAUAUGCGGCUACAGAAACAAAUCCAAAACCAGGACAGCACCCAGAAAAGAAACAGAAGCGGACCCCGACCCCGAACCAGAGGCCGAACCGAAACUCAUUCAUUCCCCAGUUUUGGUGUUCAAACAGAAUCGUUCGAGACCACAGAAGAUUCCCCCGAAAUGGGCCGAGGAGUACCAACGGCUCUGGGGAUUGGGGAUUGUAGGCUUUCAAUGGGCAAAACUCACGCACAGCCACGCCCCCUCCGUCCCAAAAAAUGUUAUUUUAACUACAUUUUGGCUCUUUAUGGCGCUGCUCACCCUCCCGGUCCCGAUCCAUUGUCUUUGUCUUGGCAGGGCUUUGUUCCUUAUGCCGGAAUAUCGUACACUUAUUAAUACAUAAUCAUUUUUGUUGGGCCCCGGCAACAUGAGAUGGAAGAUUGGAACGGAGGGCCUCAAAGGUCCCCACGGACAGAAGAGUUCGGUGUUUGGUGUUGUAGAUGACCAUGCCUGUGUGUGUUCUUGCCCAUUCAAAAAAAAAAUAAAGCAGUAAAGUCGUAACAGAUAUGAGAGCAGAGCUCCUAUCGUGCCAUGGACAAGCCUGUGGUCUAUUGUCGUUCGGAUCGGGUUCUAGGAAAUCCAACCUAGUUAGUGAAUUCGAGCUGACUGCCCCGAAAAUGUGUUUUUUGUUUUUACCUCCCAGUGUUGCUCUUCUCCGGUUUUGUUUUUGUUCCGAACUGGUUGCUUAGUUGUGCAGAAAGGCCGAUUACUCGAAUGAGUAUAAUUUGUUCAUGCUGUAGUUGUUUCUGGCUUACUACAGAAAAAAUUUGUUUGCCGCUUCUGCGAAAUAUAAACUACAGAGCACUCAUUGUACAUGUGCACAAGCCUGAUAAAUAUUUUCGUAUGAAAUGCAUUAAUCUGAGCAUUAGUUACGCCAGAAGCUGGAAUCCGAGGUGGAAGGAUCCCAGAAUGCUUUGGAAUUUGCAAAUUGUCAGAUAGCUCAGCCAUCUGCGGACAACAAUAGAGUUAAUAACAAGGUUUAUACAAUCAGACGAGUGUGCAAAUCAUUUCCGGUCCUCUGUCUGAGCCUCACAAUUAGUCGGACAGCUACAUUGAUACAGAUUCAAAUGCAGAUUGGGUCUGAACAAUCAUGGCCAUAUAUCCAAUCCGAUUCAUUUAGCUAAAGCUCGGGAUGAGGCGGAAAGGCCAGUUCCUGUCGCCCGAAAUUGGCAAGAAAAGCAGCUCGCCAGUCCAAAAAAGAAAUGCUAAUGAGCGGCGAACAAACGGGUCGGAUCGAAAACUGUUGGCCAGUCCAU
This is a long non-coding RNA of Drosophila ananassae, 1304 nucleotides long. RefSeq lists it as uncharacterized. The transcript has 2 exons. NCBI's taxonomy places the organism in Eukaryota, Metazoa, Arthropoda, Insecta, Diptera, Drosophilidae. The record is from RefSeq and is a predicted model, not a curated record.